AGAGUUUGAUCCUGGCUCAGGACGAACGCUGGCGGCGUGCCUAACACAUGCAAGUCGAACGGACGAGGCCCCUUCGGGGACCGAGUUAGUGGCGGACGGGUGAGUAACGCGUGAGCAACCUGCCUUUCAGAGGGGGACAACAGUUGGAAACGACUGCUAAUACCGCAUGAUGCAGCGAGAUCGCAUGGUCUUGCUGUCAAAGAUUUAUCGCUGAAAGAUGGGCUCGCGUCUGAUUAGCUAGUUGGAGGGGUAACGGCCCACCAAGGCGACGAUCAGUAGCCGGACUGAGAGGUUGAACGGCCACAUUGGGACUGAGAUACGGCCCAGACUCCUACGGGAGGCAGCAGUGGGGAAUAUUGGGCAAUGGGGGAAACCCUGACCCAGCAACGCCGCGUGAAGGAAGAAGGCUUUCGGGUUGUAAACUUCUUUUACCAGGGACGAAGAACGUGACGGUACCCGGAGAAAAAGCCACGGCUAACUACGUGCCAGCAGCCGCGGUAAUACGUAGGUGGCAAGCGUUGUCCGGAUUUACUGGGUGUAAAGGGCGUGUAGGCGGAGCUGCAAGUCGGAUGUGAAAUCUGGGGGCUUAACCCUCAAACUGCAUUUGAAACUGUAGCCCUUGAGUAUCGGAGAGGCAGGCGGAAUUCCUAGUGUAGCGGUGAAAUGCGUAGAUAUUAGGAAGAACACCAGUGGCGAAGGCGGCCUGCUGGACGACAACUGACGCUGAGGCGCGAAAGCGUGGGGAGCAAACAGGAUUAGAUACCCUGGUAGUCCACGCUGUAAACGAUGAAUACUAGGUGUGGGGGGACUGACCCCCUCCGUGCCGGAGUUAACACAAUAAGUAUUCCACCUGGGGAGUACGACCGCAAGGUUGAAACUCAAAGGAAUUGACGGGGGCCCGCACAAGCAGUGGAUUAUGUGGUUUAAUUCGACGCAACGCGAAGAACCUUACCGGGAUUUGACAUCCUACUAACGAAGCAGAGAUGCAUUAGGUGCCCUUCGGGGAAAGUAGAGACAGGUGGUGCAUGGUUGUCGUCAGCUCGUGUCGUGAGAUGUUGGGUUAAGUCCCGCAACGAGCGCAACCCCUAUUGUUAGUUGCUACGCAAGAGCACUCUAGCGAGACUGCCGUUGACAAAACGGAGGAAGGCGGGGACGACGUCAAAUCAUCAUGCCCCUUAUGUCCCGGGCUACACACGUAAUACAAUGGCGGUCAACAAAGGGAAGCAAAGCCGCGAGGCAGAGCAAACCCCCAAAAGCCGUCUCAGUUCGGAUUGCAGGCUGCAACUCGCCUGCAUGAAGCUGGAAUUGCUAGUAAUCGUGGAUCAGAAUGCCACGGUGAAUACGUUCCCGGGCCUUGUACACACCGCCCGUCACACCAUGAGAGUCGGGAACACCCGAAGUCCGUAGUCUAACCCGCAAGGGAGGGCGCGGCCGAAGGUGGGUCUGAUAAUUGGGGUGAAGUCGUAACAAGGUA
Molecule: ribosomal RNA, 1474 nt
Filed under: metagenome
Description: bacterial SSU rRNA
Rfam family: Bacterial small subunit ribosomal RNA
Source: RNAcentral